Molecule: long non-coding RNA, 329 nt
Filed under: Rosa chinensis
Lineage: Eukaryota; Viridiplantae; Streptophyta; Magnoliopsida; Rosales; Rosaceae
Description: sRNA RchiOBHm_Chr5g0055341
Source: RNAcentral
CGACGUUGGAGCAGUUUUGGCCGUCAGUUUUGCGACUGGCGGAGGUUUUGCAGCCGGUGUCUCCUAGCGGUGUUGUAGCUAGCUGAGGACUUGAUGCUCAGCAGAGAGUUGGACCGAGGAGCUUGGGGUCAGCGGUGUACAGUCCGGCGGUGCGGAGCACGAUCAGAUUAGUGGUGCAGCGGAACCUAGUCAACGGCGGAGGUUGACCAGACGAACGGAGCCUUGGCUAGCGGAGGAUGUACGGCGGAGCCGCUGAGUGGCAGUUGCUACGGCUGGUGUGCUGGGUUGGGCGGAACUAGCGGUUGGCGGUGCCCCUCGUUGUGGAGCGC